Molecule: transfer RNA, 73 nt
Filed under: Operophtera brumata (winter moth)
Lineage: Eukaryota; Metazoa; Arthropoda; Insecta; Lepidoptera; Geometridae
Rfam family: tRNA
About the family: Transfer RNA (tRNA) molecules are approximately 80 nucleotides in length. Their secondary structure includes four short double-helical elements and three loops (D, anti-codon, and T loops).
Source: Rfam by way of RNAcentral
CGUUCUAUGGCCGAAUUGGUAAAGAUAUCGCCGAUCACAGGCGAGGUUGUGGGUUCGAGUCCCGCUGGAACGA